CAGUUUUGGCGGAGCCAUCCUUGGGAUACCACCCUUGUAGUACUGGGACUCUAACCAUAGGCCAUGAAUCUGGUCUUGGGACACUGUCAGGUGGGCAGUUUGACUGGGGCGGUCGCCUCCCAAAAGGUAACGGAGGCGCGCAAAGGUUCUCGCAGUACGGACGGGAAUCGUACGUGGAGUGUAAAGGCAAAAGAGAGCUUGAUUGCAAGACAUACAGGUCGAGCAAGGAUGAAAAUCGGACUUAGUGAUCCGGUGGUUCUGCGUGGAAGGGCCAUCGCUCAGCGGAUAAAAGCUACCCUGGGGAUAACAGGCUUAUCUCCCCCAAGAGUCCACCUCGACGGGUGGGUUUGGCACCUCGAUGUCGGCUCAUCACAUCCUGGGGCUGUAGUAGGUCCCAAGGGUUGGGCUGUUCGCCCAUUAAAGUGGUACGCGAGCUGGGUUCAGAACGUCGUGAGACAGUUCGGUCCCUAUCCGUCGCAGGCGUAGGAAAUUUGAGAAG
RNAcentral lists this ribosomal RNA (499 nucleotides) under Clostridioides difficile. Its description in RNAcentral is "bacterial LSU rRNA". It matches the Rfam family "Bacterial large subunit ribosomal RNA", at positions 2172 to 2669 of the family's 2925-position model. The record is from RNAcentral. Lineage: Bacteria; Bacillati; Bacillota; Clostridia; Peptostreptococcales; Peptostreptococcaceae.